CUAGUUGGUGGAGGCAGUGAGAUUUUGCAAAGGUUGGUGAGGUUGCUGCAGUUGCUGUGGCUGUGGUUGCUGCUGUUGGGUAUUCCCCAAAGGAGUAUACUAUAGUGAAUGUCAUUUUUUUCCCCUCUAAGUAUUUGGUUAAGAGGCACUGUCUUCACAAAAACUACAUACAAUGACAAAAGCUUAACCUCAUUUCCUGCAGCAUUUAAGUUGAAGAAGGCAAUACAAAACUCCUGCUCAGCAAGACACACUGGCUGCAGCUCACU
This is a long non-coding RNA of Cherax quadricarinatus, 266 nucleotides long. RefSeq lists it as uncharacterized. NCBI's taxonomy places the organism in Eukaryota, Metazoa, Arthropoda, Malacostraca, Decapoda, Parastacidae. The record is from RefSeq and is a predicted model, not a curated record.